This 804-nucleotide ribosomal RNA is filed under the name Triticum aestivum (bread wheat). RNAcentral's name for it is "partial small subunit ribosomal RNA". Lineage: Eukaryota; Viridiplantae; Streptophyta; Magnoliopsida; Poales; Poaceae. The record is from RNAcentral.
AUGCCAAGAAGCAGCUCGAGGACAAGGAAGGUGAGUAACACCUUAUUAAAAUUGUACCUUACAGAAAAGGAUUUUGGUUGCAAGAAGAAUGACAAGGAUAACGUGGGUAUUACAGGGGCCACUAACGAGGUGGCGACCCUGAAGGAGGCGGUGUCCGCAGCCGAACGUAAUGCGGCCACGGAGCGCACCGAGCGAGAGAAGCAGGAGGCAUGGGUGGUGGAGGUACAGCAAGAGCUACAGGAUCUCGUGAAAAAACAUGAGAGCCUGGAGCGUGACUCAAAGACUCGAGAGUCUGAGCUUGCAACGGCUCUUGAGAGUGCCAAAGCCGCUAAGGCCGAAGCCUACAAGGCCCUCCAAGAAAUCGAAGCGUUGAAGAAAAUAGCAGCGGGUAAGGCAUUUUUCAUGCAAAGUAAGCAUGUGAGUGUUAAUUACCUGUUGCUUACCCGAAUUCGGAGCUCUCCAGGAGCAUUCGCAGAUCUUCCUCGCAGCGUGUCCGAUGCUGCCGCGUUCUACCGGGCCGAGGAGGGGAGCUCGACGGAGAAGGUCUUCUGGUCUCAGUAUGCUGAGGCCGGACAUCCGGUGCCCCUUAGCGACCAGCUGAAGCAGCUGGUCGAGCUCCACAAGGCGGCCGAACAAGCCAUGAAGGGCCUCAUUAUUCGGCUGUGGCCGAAGGAGACCAUGCCUGGGAGCUACUUCGGCCUAGUGCGGCGGCUGGUGGAUGUGUGUCCAUGGGUUAAAGUCAUCAAGCACUCCGCCUGUAUUGAAGGUGCUCGUCGGGCCCUUGCCCGCGCAAAGGUGCACUGA